UGAAGUGACCCCAACUAAGCAAGCAAGAGGUGACAGCGGCAAGGAACCGAAACUCCAUCGGUGACAGAAUGUAGAAAAAAACCUUGAGAGAAACCAGGCUCAGUUGGGGGGCCAGUUCUCCUCUGACCAGACGAAACCAGUAUUUCAAUUCCAGGCUGCAGCAAAGUCAGAUUGUGCAGAAGAAUCAUCGGUUUCCUGUGGUCUUGUCCUGGUGGUCCUCUGAGACAAGGUCUUUACAGGGGAUCUGUAUCUGGGGGCUCUAGUUGUCCUGGUCUCCGCUGUCUUUCAGAGCAGUAGAGGUCCUUUCUAGGUGCUGAUCCACCAUCUGGUUUGGAUACGUACUGGAUCCGGGUGACUGCAGUGAUCCUCUGAUCUGGAUACAGACUGGAUCUGGUGGCUACGGUGACCUUGGAUAAGAGAGAAACAGACAAAUAUUAGCGUAGAUGUCAUUCUUCUAAUGAUGUAGCAAGUACAUAGGGUGUUAUGGGAAGUGUUCCCGGUUCCGGUUUACCUAAUUAAUGCAGCCUAAAAAUCCAUUUGGAUAUUAAAAGCAUAUUAGUAAGUUAUGUGUAAGCCAGGUUAAAUAGAUGGGUCUUUAAUCUAGAUUUAUACUGCAAGAGUGUGUCUGCCUCCCGAACAAUGUUAGGUAGGUUAUUCCAGAGUUUAGGCGCCAAAUAGGAAAAGGAUCUGCCGCCCACAGUUGAUUUUGAUAUUCUAUGUAUUAUCAAAUUGCCUGAGUUUUGAGAAUGUAGUGGAUGUGGAGGAUUAUAAUUAUUAUUCACACAGACACUAAAUACCAUCAUGGUGAGACUGAUUGAUCUGAAAUAUGCAAUACACAUUAAUUUAACAACAUUACAUGUAACAUACAACCCUAAUAAACAUAACAGAUAAGAAAAAAAUAAAUAAAAAUAAGAAGAAACAUGGUUAUUUCAAAGAAAAAAUAUCAAAUAAUUUUUUUUUUUAAAUGCAACGCAGAAAAUUCUGGGAAUGUAAGUUUAAGGUUUUUUUUUUUAUUAUUUUUUUAUUUUAUUUUUUUUACAGUGAAGUUUCUUAACCUUUUGCUGCCUGAUAAAUUUCUGGACAAUAUCUCAUUUUCAAAACAGCAUUUUAAAGUGCCUCUUUUUUUUUUUUUUUUUUUUUGACUGAUAACAUGAAUCGUCCCUCUUAGUGUUUAAUGCAUUUUAGUAUCACAGUUUGAUAGCAACAGGGUUAAACGGUAAAAUAAAAUGAUACACAUUUAAAAGUCAAGCUUGUGCAUAGCAAAAUAGAUUUAUGUCCACAUGCUUCACACAAUUCCCUAAACAUUUGCCUUUUGCAAAAGCCUAGAUGUGUAGAUACUUAAAUUGUGUAGAAAAGUCUUGUAACCAAAAGCUACUGAUGUAUGAAACUGCUACAGCCAUAGGUGGGUUCUUCUUUUUAAGAUAUUUAACUGUACAUAUUGUUAAUGUACAUAC
Molecule: long non-coding RNA, 1454 nt
Filed under: Carassius auratus (goldfish)
Lineage: Eukaryota; Metazoa; Chordata; Actinopteri; Cypriniformes; Cyprinidae
Description: lncRNA (ENSCARG00000006550.1)
Source: RNAcentral